Molecule: non-coding RNA, 98 nt
Organism: Marasmius tenuissimus
Lineage: Eukaryota; Fungi; Basidiomycota; Agaricomycetes; Agaricales; Marasmiaceae
Source: the annotation of a GenBank genome assembly
GGCCUGAUGGUCUAGUAGUAUGAUUCCUUGUUAGGGUGGUUGGACAAAGAGGUAUGUCCUAUUCGAGGAGGUCCCGGGUUCAAUUCCCGGUCAGGCCC